GAUGAACGCUGGCGGCGUGCCUAAUACAUGCAAGUCGAGCGAACGGACGAGAAGCUUGCUUCUCUGAUGUUAGCGGCGGACGGGUGAGUAACACGUGGAUAACCUACCUAUAAGACUGGGAUAACUUCGGGAAACCGGAGCUAAUACCGGAUGAUAUUUUGAACCGCAUGGUUCAAAAGUGAAAGACGGUCUUGCUGUCACUUAUAGAUGGAUCCGCGCUGCAUUAGCUAGUUGGUAAGGUAACGGCUUUCCAAGGCAACGAUGCAUAGCCGACCUGAGAGGGUGAUCGGCCACACUGGAACUGAGACACGGUCCAGACUCCUACGGGAGGCAGCAGUAGGGAAUCUUCCGCAAUGGGCGAAAGCCUGACGGAGCAACGCCGCGUGAGUGAUGAAGGUCUUCGGAUCGUAAAACUCUGUUAUUAGGGAAGAACAUAUGUGUAAGUAACUGUGCACAUCUUGACGGUACCUAAUCAGAAAGCCACGGCUAACUACGUG
This 497-nucleotide ribosomal RNA is filed under the name uncultured bacterium. RNAcentral describes it as "partial 16S ribosomal RNA". It matches the Rfam family "Bacterial small subunit ribosomal RNA", at positions 28 to 507 of the family's 1533-position model. The record is from RNAcentral.